UACAGAGGGUGCGAGCGUUGUCCGGAAUCACUGGGCGUAAAGGGCGCGUAGGCGGUCGUGACAAGUCACUUGUGAAAUCUCCGGGCUUAACUCGGAACGGUCAAGUGAUACUGUCGGACUAGAGUACAGAAGGGGCAACUGGAAUUCUCGGUGUAGCGGUGAAAUGCGUAGAUAUCGAGAGGAACACCUGCGGCGAAGGCGGGUUGCUGGGCUGACACUGACGCUGAAGUGCGAAAGCUAGGGGAGCGAACGGG
This 254-nucleotide ribosomal RNA is filed under the name uncultured bacterium. RNAcentral's name for it is "partial 16S ribosomal RNA". It matches the Rfam family "Bacterial small subunit ribosomal RNA", at positions 524 to 776 of the family's 1533-position model. The record is from RNAcentral.